This 458-nucleotide ribosomal RNA is filed under the name uncultured Dehalococcoides sp. RNAcentral describes it as "bacterial SSU rRNA". It matches the Rfam family "Bacterial small subunit ribosomal RNA", at positions 38 to 525 of the family's 1533-position model. The record is from RNAcentral. Lineage: Bacteria; Bacillati; Chloroflexota; Dehalococcoidia; Dehalococcoidales; Dehalococcoidaceae.
CGGGGGGGGAUGGAAGAAAGGCAAGUCGACGAACGAGCUUGCUCGUUAGUGGCGGACGGCUGAGUAACGCGUGGGUGACCUGCCCCGAAGUGGGGAAUAACUGCCCGAAAGGGUGGCUAAUACCGCAUGUGGUGAUGCGUUCAUUCGCAUCAGUAAAGCCGCAAGGCGCUUCGGGAGGGGCCUGCGUCCGAUUAGCUCGUUGGUGGGGUAACGGCUCACCAAGGCGACGAUCGGUAGGUGGUCUGAGAGGACGAUCACCCAGACUGGGACUGAGACACGGCCCAGACUCCUACGGGAGGCAGCAGUCGGGAAUUUUGCGCAAUGGACGAAAGUCUGACGCAGCAACGCCGCGUGAGGGAUGAAGGCCUUCGGGUUGUAAACCUCUUUUGUCAGGGACGAUGAUGACGGUACCUGACGAAUAAGCCACGGCUAACUACGUGCCAGCAGCCGCGGUAAUA